UAUCUCUGUAGAGUCUGCAUAUCAAUAAGCGGAGGAAAAGAAACUAACAAGGAUUCCCUAGUAACGGCGAGUGAAGCGGGAAGAGCUCAAAUUUGAAAUCUUAAAGGUUUCCCUUGACGAAUUGUAGUUUAUAGAAGUGUUUUCUGUUAGUGGAGUUCGGUAAAAGUUCUUUGGAAUAGGACAUCAUAGAGGGUGAGAAUCCCGUAUUUGACCGUUACUUCCCUAGCUGUGUGAUACACUUUCAAAGAGUCGGAUUGUUUGGGAAUGCAGUCCAAAAUGGGUGGUAAAUUUCAUCUAAAGCUAAAUAUUGGCGAGAGACCGAUAGCGAACAAGUACCGUGAGGGAAGGAUGAAAAGAACUUUGAAAAGAGAGUUAAACAGUACGUGAAAUUGUCGAAAGGGAAGCGUUUGACACCAGUGUUGUUUAGUUCGAAAAUCAAUUACGAAUAGUUUUCGAUUUUGAGGAGUAUUGACCUUAUCAGGCUUGCUGCUUUCUUCUACGAAAUUAUUUAAUGCACUUUUCAGGUUAACAAGUCAACAUCAAUUUCUUUUGUUGUAAAAGGGUAUGAGGAAGGUGGCUUUCUCUUCGGCGCAAGUGUUUAUAGCCUUUGACUUCUGCAAUCGGAGAGAUUGAGGUCUGCAGCGUAGAUCCUUCGGGGUUAGAUGACAUUUGUGCUAAGCUAUAGCCUUGUAUAGACAACUUGUUGACUAUGCUCAGUCAUGUAGCUUACUCGCUUAUGCUAUUUUACCUACGCUUAGGAUGUUGACGCAUGAGAUAUACGC
Molecule: ribosomal RNA, 782 nt
Filed under: uncultured Neocallimastigales
Lineage: Eukaryota; Fungi; Neocallimastigomycota; Neocallimastigomycetes; Neocallimastigales
Description: partial large subunit ribosomal RNA
Rfam family: Eukaryotic large subunit ribosomal RNA
Source: RNAcentral